GACGAACGCUGGCGGCGUGCCUAAUACAUGCAAGUUGAGCGAUGAAGCUUGGUGCUUGCACCCAUUUGAAGAGCAGCGAACGGGUGAGUAACGCGUGGGGAAUCUGCCUUUGAGCGGGGGACAACAUUUGGAAACGAAUGCUAAUACCGCAUAACAACUUUAAACAUAAGUUUUAAGUUUGAAAGAUGCAAUUGCAUCACUCAAAGAUGAUCCCGCGUUGUAUUAGCUAGUUGGUGAGGUAAAGGCUCACCAAGGCGAUGAUACAUAGCCGACCUGAGAGGGUGAUCGGCCACAUUGGGAAUGAGACACGGCCCAAACUCCUACGGGAGGCAGCAGUAGGGAAUCUUCGGCAAUGGACGAAAGUCUGACCGAGCAACGCCGCGUGAGUGAAGAAGGGUUUCGGAUCGUAAAACUCUGUUGGUAGAGAAGAACGUUGGUGAGAGUGGAAAGCUCAUCAAGUGACGGUAACUACCCAGAAAGGGACGGCUAACUACGUG
This 497-nucleotide ribosomal RNA is filed under the name uncultured bacterium. RNAcentral's name for it is "partial 16S ribosomal RNA". It matches the Rfam family "Bacterial small subunit ribosomal RNA", at positions 28 to 507 of the family's 1533-position model. The record is from RNAcentral.